UUUUUUUUUUUUUUUUUUUUUGCAUGGGGGAUAGGCUGGUCUUCUUUGUUUGGAUGUGAGAGCAGUGGGGAAUAAGAGAGACAUAUGCACAUCAAAGGUGUGAUUUCUAGCCCUCUGGCAACUCUUUCAUUUUUGGAAAUAUGAUCGACCAAGUAGUUCUCCUGAAACUCUCUCAUUACCAAACCCAAAUUCUGGAGAAAAUAUUUCUUAGAAACCUUGAAAUUCAAAGAUUCAAAGAUGGAAUUGUAAGAAAGCAAGGACAUGCUUCUGAGGGCAGGAAAAAUCUGGGCACGUGAAUUCAGGAAGGUAAGUCCCCACUCUCCGCGGGGCACCUAUUGCUCAGAGAAGCCCGGGGCUUCCGCAGUAAUGGCUGCAUGCAAAUCGGCACAGAAGAUAAAGCCUUAGACCUUUGCAGGCUGCGGAGUCAGAUCAGUGAACCCAGCAUACAUCAGGGGCACGUCACACCCUCAAGAAGAGGACGAACUCAGACCACCCCUGAAAGGUCCUAGUCUUGGCUCUGGGUGAGACGGAGCAUUGUCUAAGGACUCAUAGCUGACUCUGGUCUUACGUGGGCUUGUGCUGGAUUCAUAGUAUUUAUGUGGCCCCCAAAUCCAUCAUUUCAUUUGAGAAUUCUACUUAAAGGUGAAGCAGGUUAGGUAGUAGCCCAAGGAACCUUGCAGUUGGAAGUUGUUCCCUCACAACAAAUCAUCUCAUUCUAGCCCUCAAAGAAGGUCCCCGAGAGGGUUUGCGCAAACGUGCUCACAGUGAAAAAUAAAACACCCAAGGUCACUAGGCGCCGUGACAGAGAGUCAGCAGAACAAGCCAUGCCCUAAAAUUUUACAAUCUAAGAUACGCAUAUUUAAUGUGCUUAAAGAAAUACAAUAAGGGGUACACAUUCCAAGUGGGAAGCAAGAGACUACCCAAAAUAAUAGAGCUGUUUUAAGACUUCCCUUGUGGCACAGUAGCUUAAGGAUCUGGCAUUGUCACUCCAGUGGUUCAAGUCAUUGCUGUGGCAUGGAUUCAAUCUCUGGCCCAGGAACUUAGUGGUCACACCAAUUUACAUUCCCACCAACAGUGUAGGAACUACCACAUAAUUCAGCAAUCCCACACCUGGCCAUAUAUACAGAGAAAAACAUAAUUUGAAAAGAUAUACACACCCCAGUGGUCACUGCAGCACCAUUUACAAUAGCCAUACAUGGAAGCACCUUAAAUGUCCAUUGAUAGAUGAACGGAUAAAGAAGAUGUGGUACAUGUAUACAGUGGAAUACUACUCAGCCAACAAAAAGAAUGAAAUAAUGCCAUCUGCAGCAACAUGGAUGGACCUAGCAAUUGCCAUACUGAAUGAAGUCAGUCAGACCAAGAGAGACAAAUAUCACAGGAAAUUAUUAAUAUGUGGAAUCUCAUGAAAGUGAUACAAAAGAACUUAUUGCCAAAACAAACUCAGAGAUUUCAAAACAAAACUUAUGGGUAGCAGAGGGGAAAUGUUGUGUGGGGGGGGAAUAAAUUAGGAGUUUGGGAUUAACACAGAGACUACUUCCUAUUUACAAAAUAGACAACUAAAAAGGACUUACUGUCUAGCAUGGGGAAAUCUACUCAGUAUGGUGUAAAAACCUAUAUGGGAAAAGAAUCUGAGAGGAAAUGAAUAUAUGCUCAUGCAUAACGGAUUUAAUUAUUGUAAACCUGAAACUUACACAGCAUCGUAAAUCAACCAUAUUCCAUUACAUGUUUUUUUUUAAUGUCCAAAAAAAAAAAAAAGUAGUGACUGUGUUGCAGGAGCUCUCCCACAGGGCGGCAAUAGCGACACCUCAAGGGGAAGAGAGGAAAGAUGCAUGGGACAUGGGACAGCUGAGAUGAACCAGUGGCCGGUUGCUCCUGAGUAGGGAUGGCGGUCACACAAGCACAUAAAGGCUGCUACGACUUCGGAGAGGAGACGUCGCCUCUGAGCGCAGAGAGAAAACAAAAAUAAGACGGCGGAAGGGAAUACUAACGUCUCAGGACCCACAGCUCUCGUAAACAGGCUCGGAACUUGAGUUUAAAAGGAAAAUUCAGUCUCCCGGGUUCUUGCCCGCGACCUGCCCGCCGGACCCUCUGGAUCACCAUGACAACCAGAAAACGCCUCCUCCCCAUCAGCAGGCCCUGGAACGGACCCCCGCACCCACGGAAACUAGCAUCCCAACUGACCACACUUGGUAGAGGUGAACUUGCACUGACCUCCACGGAAUCCUGCCUCUGGAAGCCAGGCUAAGGCUGCCUUCUGGAAAAAAAUAAAUACAAAGACUUGUUUCAUUCACUGGGCUGAAAGAGGGUGCAACAUAAGAUCGUCUUGCUUCUGUGUCCAGACUAUGGCUCCCCGGGCUUGUUCGGAACACUGGAAGAAGGGCCUCUGUCUCUCCCUGCCACGGAUCCGUGCACGUCGUCGACUCGGAGCUGACCUGUGUCACCUGGAGGAUGCUGCCGAAAGUAACGAUGCGUCACCUCCGAGGUCCCGUCGUGGAAGACCUCAAAGAACAGGGACCCUGGGAGUUUGGGGAAAGGAAACUCUCCAAAGGCAUCUGAAAGAAGGAGAAAACACAGGAAGUACUGGCGAAAAGAUGUGAGACCCUCCUGUAAACGUUCCUGAGUCACAUGCAGGCGGCAUCCCCUUUUUUCCUUCCCUGGAGCAGAAGGUUCACAACACAAUUGAGACAGUGCUAUAGAGAUCUUUCCAGAUACCUCCUUCUCCUGUCUGCUUCAAGCAACAUCCGCCACCAGAGUGGUAUACAUUGCUCCUUCUCAAUUGUCCAUCUCAGGAUGGAAGAGGCCCCAAGAAUGGGGGUUCUUACCUUCCUGAUGUUUUGGCUCCGUCUGGUUGUGAAGCCUAUAAAAAUGAAUAAGAUGCAACCCCAGCUCUCCCUGAAAGCCUCUUCUGUCUGCUCAUCACAGCCCUGCCUCCAGGCCCCUCUUGCACCUGGUAAAUCCUCCUGGGAACCUGCCUGUUUGUGCUCUAGCAGCUGCCUGAAGAAUCACCUCCUCCAGGAAGCCUUCCUCUCUUAGUCAUGUGUGAACCCUGGCCUUCGCCCCUGCUGGGACUUGUCCAAUCUGGAAACUCCUAUUCAUUCCUUGAAUUGCUCCUCUCCGGACUACCCCAGACUUCAUCAGCUCCCAUCACCAGUUAGAGAAAUGAGGUGUCCCUUAUCUGCAAGAGCUCAGGCUUUGUCGCAAUCGGACCAUCAGAAUAAGGUCAUUAAAAAAAAAAAAAAAAAAAAAAAAAAAAAAAACUCAGGUGUGGAGACAAACCAUUUGCAGCCACAGAGGCGAAGAGCUGCUCGGGUAUAAAUGAGGCCAGAUUCAGUUCAGAUUCAUGGACAUUUUUUUAUGCUGCAGGAUUUUUUUCAAAAUCUUUUUUUUCCCCUUGCACGGGCAUUCCAAGGCAGCAGGGAUGAGGGGAGGAGGCGGAAAACACAGGAAAUGUAAAGGAUUCUGGAAAUUGAGCUGCAUGGGGAAGGCAAGGAGCUUCCCUGUAUCAAAGUAGAACGUGGUAACUGGAAGUUCCAUUAAAUGGACCACCUGCAGAAAAAGGGGGACCGAGGAAAAACACGCCGUUGGCACAAAGAGAAACCACACAUUUCUCAAAGCUGCCGUCAGUGGAUCGUUAAACCUACAGCGCCGCUAGUUUCGGGUCUGGAGUUUUUGGCCGUGGUGGCGGGAAGAAGGCCAAGGCCCACGCGCCUGGACUGAAGGCUCACUUUGCAAUUCCUGGCAGACCCCUCCACUCCCACGCGGAAGGCCUGGGGAGGGUUAAGGCAGAAAAGCACUUGUGUCAAAGCAAAGGAAACCGGUGGCACUUCCAGGGUAAGCGGCACACAUACGCGGGUUUACUUUCAGAGAGCCAAGAGCAAUUUCCACGCCAGUGAACAUAUUCUCAGGGAACCGGGCCCCUCCACUGGCCACAUCCAUCCGUGAAGGAAGAGGCUUUGUGCUCCUGCGCGUCCUGUACCUGCCUGUCUUGUAGUCACACUUGGGGGUGAAUCGUUCCCUUAUUUUACGAGGGAGGCAGUUGAGCCUCAGAGGGUAUAACUCGUUUUCCAAUUAAUUAUAAUUAAAAGUAAUCAUGCCGCA
This 4098-nucleotide long non-coding RNA is filed under the name Sus scrofa (pig). Its description in RNAcentral is "lncRNA (ENSSSCG00050053791.1)". Lineage: Eukaryota; Metazoa; Chordata; Mammalia; Artiodactyla; Suidae. The record is from RNAcentral.